GACGAACGCUGGCGGCGUGCUUAACACAUGCAAGUCGAACGGAAAGGCCCUGCUUUUGUGGGGUGCUCGAGUGGCGAACGGGUGAGUAGCACGUGAGUAACCUGCCCUUGACUUUGGGAUAACUUCAGGAAACUGGGGCUAAUACCGGAUAGGAGCUCCUGCUGCAUGGUGGGGGUUGGAAAGUUUCGGCGGUUGGGGAUGGACUCGCGGCUUAUCAGCUUGUUGGUGAGGUAGUGGCUUACCAAGGCUUUGACGGGUAGCCGGCAUGAGAGGGUGAACGGCCACAUUGGGACUGAGAUACGGACCAGAAUGCUACGGGAGGCAGCAGUGGGGAAUAUUGCACAAUGGGCGGAAGCCUGAUGCAGCAACGCCGCGUGCGGGAUGACGGCCUUCGGGUUGUAAACCGCUUUCGACUGUGACGAAGCGUGAGUGACGGUAAUGGGUAAAGAAGCACCGGCUAACUACGUG
Molecule: ribosomal RNA, 468 nt
Filed under: uncultured bacterium
Lineage: Bacteria
Description: partial 16S ribosomal RNA
Rfam family: Bacterial small subunit ribosomal RNA
Source: RNAcentral